This 378-nucleotide long non-coding RNA is filed under the name Musa acuminata (dwarf banana). Its description in RNAcentral is "long non-coding RNA (MACU_LNC005169)". The record is from RNAcentral. Lineage: Eukaryota; Viridiplantae; Streptophyta; Magnoliopsida; Zingiberales; Musaceae.
GGACGUUGACAAGUUCGAGUGCAAGCAGACCCUCUUCGAAGGGGGCCACAUCGGGACGAAGCUGGAGAUAGCGACGAGCCAUUUCAAGUUCGAGCCGGCCUCCGGCGGAGGAUGUGUGCUGACGGUGGUGACCACCUACAAACUCCUGCCUGGAGUUGAGGACGACCAGAGCGAGAUAGUGAGGUCUAAGGAGACUGUGACGGGAAUCAUCAAGGCCGCAGAAGCUUACCUCGUCGCCAAUCCUGAUGCCUAUGUGUAGAUCGAUCGAGCAUCUAUCGAGUUUGCGUGAGAUUUCCUUUGUGUUCUCUGCAUAAGUUGCAUCAGUGUGCUUUCCUUGUCUCCUAAACAAUAAUCGAUUGCGAGCCAAUAAACAAUCAC